AAAUUUUGGAUUAUUGUGCAUCAUUCAACAAGCCUCCCACUUCGUCUAAAUAAACCCUAGAAAUUGAAUUCAAAUCCUUGUAGUAGUAAGUCGAAGAGUCACCAAAAUGGCGCUAACCAACUUCAUACUGACAGUGGCAGGAGUUAGCGCAGUGAUACUGUUGAUGAGGAGCGAUGUGAAACAAUCGGCUUCAAUUUUCCGGCGCAACGUCCGCCAAAUUCGCCACUGGCUUGAGCAAGAAUCCGCCUCCGCCGCCAAGGAAAUGGAGAAUGCAAAACCGAAGGAGUUACCAAAGAAAGACCUCCCCAAGGAGGACAAGCACUAGGUCUUGCCAUAGAAUUUUAGAUUUUUUUUGUUUUUUUGUUUUUUUGUUUUUUUUGGAAAUAUAAGAAUUUUGGAGUUAAUAUUAGGGACUGAUGUCUAUCAUUUGGUUUUCUUUUGAAUUUGAUCAGGUUUCCUGACAUGUAUAAAGUCAUACUCGUGUUCUUGUAUACUUCAGUCCAGAAGACUUGUUAUGUUACCUCUUUUGCAUUGUGACAUAAAGCUGUGGUGAGCAACAAUUCUCUGUGGCACAAAGCAUUGGAUGAAAUAGUUUUGCAGAGAUACAAAUAAAUCUAGAAAAUGCCCUCAGCUCUGCUUUUAGUGUUAUUAUCACAAGUUGAACUUUUUUCUACUAUACAUUUUCUUUAGUUGA
Ipomoea nil (Japanese morning glory) is the source of this 694-nucleotide long non-coding RNA. RefSeq lists it as uncharacterized. Lineage: Eukaryota; Viridiplantae; Streptophyta; Magnoliopsida; Solanales; Convolvulaceae. The transcript is spliced from 2 exons. The record is from RefSeq and is a predicted model, not a curated record.